GACGAUGGGGUUGAUAGGUCACAGGUGUAAAGGCAGUAAUGUCAUAGCCAAGUGAUACUAAUUAUCCGAAGAGCUUAUCUAU
RNAcentral lists this ribosomal RNA (82 nucleotides) under Psychroflexus sediminis. Its description in RNAcentral is "23S rRNA. Bacterial LSU". Lineage: Bacteria; Pseudomonadati; Bacteroidota; Flavobacteriia; Flavobacteriales; Flavobacteriaceae. The record is from RNAcentral.